GACGAACGCUGGCGGCGUGCUUAACACAUGCAAGUCGAACGGAAAGGCCCUGCUUUUGUGGGGUGCUCGAGUGGCGAACGGGUGAGUAACACGUGAGUAACCUGCCCUUGACUUUGGGAUAACUUCAGGAAACUGGGGCUAAUACCGGAUAGGAGCUCCUGCUGCAUGGUGGGGGUUGGAAAGUUUCGGCGGUUGGGGAUGGACUCGCGGCUUAUCAGCUUGUUGGUGGGGUAGUGGCUUACCAAGGCUUUGACGGGUAGCCGGCCUGAGAGGGUGACCGGCCACAUUGGGACUGAGAUACGGGCCAGAGUCCUACGGGAGGCAGCAGUGGGGAAUAUUGCACAAUGGGCGGAAGCCUGAUGCAGCAACGCCGCGUGCGGGAUGACGGCCUUCGGGUUGUAAACCGCUUUCGCCUGUGACGAAGCGUGAGUGACGGUAAUGGGUAAAGAAGCACCGGCUAACUACGUG
Molecule: ribosomal RNA, 468 nt
Filed under: uncultured bacterium
Lineage: Bacteria
Description: partial 16S ribosomal RNA
Rfam family: Bacterial small subunit ribosomal RNA
Source: RNAcentral